RNAcentral lists this ribosomal RNA (484 nucleotides) under uncultured bacterium. RNAcentral's name for it is "partial 16S ribosomal RNA". It matches the Rfam family "Bacterial small subunit ribosomal RNA", at positions 34 to 507 of the family's 1533-position model. The record is from RNAcentral.
CUUGCCCGCUGGCGGCAGGCCUAACACAUGCAAGUCGAGCGGAUGAAGGGAGCUUGCUCCUGGAUUCAGCGGCGGACGGGUGAGUAAUGCCUAGGAAUCUGCCUGGUAGUGGGGGAUAACGUCCGGAAACGGGCGCUAAUACCGCAUACGUCCUGAGGGAGAAAGUGGGGGAUCUUCGGACCUCACGCUAUCAGAUGAGCCUAGGUCGGAUUAGCUAGUUGGUGGGGUAAAGGCCUACCAAGGCGACGAUCCGUAACUGGUCUGAGAGGAUGAUCAGUCACACUGGAACUGAGACACGGUCCAGACUCCUACGGGAGGCAGCAGUGGGGAAUAUUGGACAAUGGGCGAAAGCCUGAUCCAGCCAUGCCGCGUGUGUGAAGAAGGUCUUCGGAUUGUAAAGCACUUUAAGUUGGGAGGAAGGGCAGUAAGUUAAUACCUUGCUGUUUUGACGUUACCAACAGAAUAAGCACCGGCUAACUUCGUG